This is a non-coding RNA of Caenorhabditis elegans, 126 nucleotides long. NCBI's taxonomy places the organism in Eukaryota, Metazoa, Nematoda, Chromadorea, Rhabditida, Rhabditidae. The record is from Ensembl.
GCAAUAUGGGCAGAAAGGGUCCGUUUAGAUGUUCUUCUCUCUGCUCACUGCAUGUGCACCCAGUACGUCUUCUUCACUUCUCUCACCCUCUUCACUCCUUUCUUGUUCCACUAUCUCUUCAAUACA